This 297-nucleotide ribosomal RNA is filed under the name Laribacter hongkongensis. RNAcentral's name for it is "partial 23S ribosomal RNA". It matches the Rfam family "Bacterial large subunit ribosomal RNA", at positions 588 to 887 of the family's 2925-position model. The record is from RNAcentral. Lineage: Bacteria; Pseudomonadati; Pseudomonadota; Betaproteobacteria; Neisseriales; Aquaspirillaceae.
AACGGGUGACUGCGUACCUUUUGUAUAAUGGGUCAGCGACUUACAUUCAGUAGCGAGCUUAACCAGAUAGGGGAGGCGUAGCGAAAGCGAGUCCGAACAGGGCGUUGAGUUGCUGGGUGUAGACCCGAAACCGGAUGAUCUAUCCAUGACCAGGAUGAAGGUGCGGUAACACGCACUGGAGGUCCGAACCCACGUCUGUUGCAAAAGACGGGGAUGAGCUGUGGAUAGGGGUGAAAGGCUAAACAAAUCCGGAAAUAGCUGGUUCUCUCCGAAAACUAUUUAGGUAGUGCCUCGAGA